UAAGUAAUCCCAAGUACUUGAUUGGUAGGCUGUCUGUGCUGCAUCCUAAUCUGCAGGCUAGUUCUCGCAGUCGUUCGUCAUUGACCACAAUACCAAUAAGCUCAAUUUGAUCAAGAUUGUCCUCUGCAAAUUACAAAUACGAGUUAAUUGGCCCUGUUCUGAACAUGGAGAAACCUUCCAGCAGUCCAUUCUAGUAUAGUCCUUCAAUUGAUCUACUAAAAAUGUCUACAACUACAGCAAAGAGGAAGGCUGAAAAGAUCUCUAAAUGGAAGGAAGAAUCCUAAUGAAGCACCAUUUACAAGAACAAAAACGUGCAGAAGAGAUGCAUUCUGCUACCCAAGUCCUACAUUUGUUUCGAAAAGCCACCUUCUCCAUAACUUCAAGAAGCAUGUCCAAGUCAAAAUGAGAUACACAGAGACAAAUUAUUUUGAAAUAACCUUGUUGAUGCCAACAACAAAAAGAUGCUGGCACCCAUGGCUAUGUCACUGUUGAUUUGAAUGAAGCCUGAGCACAAAAGGUUGUAGCACCCUGUGGCUUGCAAGGCAUCACUCUGUUAUCAAAUUACAGACCACCAGUAUUAGAGACUGAUUGAUUUGAAGCCCACGCACCUAAUAAUGAGAGAUAGAGAGAGAGAGACUCACAGUCCAGUAAGUGAAGAGCUUGGUGUUGUCCCCAUACAGAUAUGGGCUUACCUGUUUCCCAUGGGAAUAUACACGGAGUAUUAUUAUUAGGGAUUGUAUAUAAUGAGACCAUUUACCUUUGGAGAAGUGAUAUGAUACAAAGGUUGUAUUAUACUAUGAUGAAAUGGUGAGUUGGCCUAAUUUUAG
This 827-nucleotide long non-coding RNA is filed under the name Amborella trichopoda. RNAcentral describes it as "long non-coding RNA (ATRI_LNC004105)". Lineage: Eukaryota; Viridiplantae; Streptophyta; Magnoliopsida; Amborellales; Amborellaceae. The record is from RNAcentral.